UACGGAGGGUGCAAGCGUUAUCCGGAUUCACUGGGUUUAAAGGGUGCGUAGGAGGGCGGGUAAGUCAGUGGUGAAAUCUCCGAGCUUAACUUGGAAACUGCCGUUGAUACUAUCUGUCUUGAAUAUUGUGGAGGUGAGCGGAAUAUGUCAUGUAGCGGUGAAAUGCUUAGUUAUGACAUAGAACACCAAUUGCGAAGGCAGCUCGCUACACAUAUAUUGACGCUGAGGCACGAAAGCGUGGGGAUCAAACAGG
This 253-nucleotide ribosomal RNA is filed under the name uncultured bacterium. RNAcentral describes it as "partial 16S ribosomal RNA". It matches the Rfam family "Bacterial small subunit ribosomal RNA", at positions 524 to 776 of the family's 1533-position model. The record is from RNAcentral.